Molecule: long non-coding RNA, 398 nt
Organism: Toxotes jaculatrix (banded archerfish)
Lineage: Eukaryota; Metazoa; Chordata; Actinopteri; Toxotidae
Exons: 3
Source: RefSeq, a predicted model, not a curated record
GGCUGUGAUUCUGUGCUGAACUGGUCACACCAUCCGGUCCAGCUGCUUCUCCUGCCUCCAGCAGCAGACGCACGUUUUCCCAGAGGUCCAUGCAGCCCAGCGGUGUCCUGAAGUUACCAAGGCUGCGGGAUGUAUUGUGACAGACUUUAAAUGUGAGGAAGAGGAGCCCUCAUCACCCAUCACGUCUGUGAGAUGAAAGGCCCCGAAAGCAGCCAGCCACCCUGCUGGACACAGCUCAGCUGUUAUAAGAAGUGUUUGACAGGAGUGGCAGGUUGUCAGAUGCAAAUUGAUCCAGUCUUUUCUACACUUUUCAACAUCAGCCCGAAGAAAAACAACGCCUCCCACAAGGUAACACUGUUUGUCUUCGAUACGUAGAAAUCAAUCUGUCCUGCAUUACU